GACGAACGCUGGCGGCGUGCUUAACACAUGCAAGUCGAACGGAAAGGUUCGGCUUUUGUGGGGUGCUCGAGUGGUGAACGGUUGAGUAACACGUGACUAACCUCCCCUUGACUUUGGGAUAACGUCAGGAAACUGGGGCUAAUAUCGGCUAGGAGCUCCUGCUGCAUGGUGUGGGCUGGAAAGUUUCGGCGGUUGGGGCUGGACCUACGGCUUAUCAGCUUGUCGGUGGGUUGGUGCCUCACAUAGCCUUUGACGGGUAGCCGGCCUGAGAGGGUGACCGGCCACAUGGGAACUGGGAUACGGCCCAGACGCAGACGGGAGGCAGCAGUGGGGAAUAUUGCACAAUGGGCGGAAGCCUGAUGCAGCAACGCCGCGUGCGGGAUGACGGCCUUCAAGUUGUAGACCGCUUUCGCCUGUGACGAAGCGUGAGAGACGGUAAUGGGUAGAGAAGCACCGGCUAACUACGUG
This 468-nucleotide ribosomal RNA is filed under the name uncultured bacterium. RNAcentral's name for it is "partial 16S ribosomal RNA". It matches the Rfam family "Bacterial small subunit ribosomal RNA", at positions 28 to 507 of the family's 1533-position model. The record is from RNAcentral.